Molecule: ribosomal RNA, 465 nt
Filed under: Vreelandella stevensii
Lineage: Bacteria; Pseudomonadati; Pseudomonadota; Gammaproteobacteria; Oceanospirillales; Halomonadaceae
Description: partial 16S ribosomal RNA
Rfam family: Bacterial small subunit ribosomal RNA
Source: RNAcentral
CCUACGGGUGGCAGCAGUGGGGAAUAUUGGACAAUAGGGGGAACCCUGAUCCAGCCAUGCCGCGUGUGUGAAGAAGGCCCUCGGGUUGUAAAGCACUUUCAGUGAGGAAGAACGCCUGGUGGUUAAUACCCAUCAGGAAAGACAUCACUCACAGAAGAAGCACCGGCUAACUCCGUGCCAGCAGCCGCGGUAAUACGGAGGGUGCGAGCGUUAAUCGGAAUUACUGGGCGUAAAGCGCGCGUAGGUGGCUUGAUAAGCCGGUUGUGAAAGCCCCGGGCUCAACCUGGGAACGGCAUCCGGAACUGUCAAGCUAGAGUGCAGGAGAGGAAGGUAGAAUUCCCGGUGUAGCGGUGAAAUGCGUAGAGAUCGGGAGGAAUACCAGUGGCGAAGGCGGCCUUCUGGACUGACACUGACACUGAGGUGCGAAAGCGUGGGUAGCAAACAGGAUUAGAUACCCGGGUAGUC